CCGUCGGAACACAUUGUCAAACCAUGCAAGUUCGAGCGGGGGAAGGUAGCUUGCUACUGGACCUAGCGGCGGACGGGUGAGUAAUGCUUAGGAAUCUGCCUAUUAGUGGGGGACAACAUCUCGAAAGGGAUGCUAAUACCGCAUACGUCCUACGGGAGAAAGCAGGGGAUCUUCGGACCUUGCGCUAAUAGAUGAGCCUAAGUCGGAUUAGCUAGUUGGUGGGGUAAAGGCCUACCAAGGCGACGAUCUGUAGCGGGUCUGAGAGGAUGAUCCGCCACACUGGGACUGAGACACGGCCCAGACUCCUACGGGAGGCAGCAGUGGGGAAUAUUGGACAAUGGGGGGAACCCUGAUCCAGCCAUGCCGCGUGUGUGAAGAAGGCCUUAUGGUUGUAAAGCACUUUAAGCGAGGAGGAGGCUACUCUAGUUAAUACCUAGGGAUAGUGGACGUUACUCGCAGAAUAAGCACCGGCUAACUCUGUGCCAGCAGCCGCGGUAAUACAGAGGGUGCGAGCGUUAAUCGGAUUUACUGGGCGUAAAGCGUGCGUAGGCGGCUUAUUAAGUCGGAUGUGAAAUCCCCGAGCUUAACUUGGGAAUUGCAUUCGAUACUGGUGAGCUAGAGUAUGGGAGAGGAUGGUAGAAUUCCACGUGUAGCGGUGAAAUGCGUAGAGAUCUGGAGGAAUACCGAUGGCGAAUGCAGCCAUCUGGCCUAAUACUGACGCUGAGGUACGAAAGCAUGGGGAGCAAACAGGAUUGAGAUACCCUGGUAGUCCAUGCCGUAAACGAUGUCUACUAGCCGUUGGGGCGUGUGGAGGCUUUAGUGCGCAGCUACGCGAUAGGUAGACCGCCUGGGGAGUACGGUCGCAGACUAAAACUCAAAUGAAUUGACGGGGCCGGCACAGCGUUGGAGCAUGUGCUUGAGUUCUAUGCACAUCGAGAGCGUAACUGUCAUGACUACUGAGAACUAUCAUAGAUGGAUGUGCUUGCUGCAUCUGAGAAUACAGUACUGCAUGCUGUCAGCAGUCAGUCGUGCAUGCAGAUAAGGUUCGACACGACGGCAACCCUUUUCCUUAGCAGCCAGCAUUUAGGAUCCAACCUUAAGGCUAUUUCCCCCGACAAACCGUACGAUGGGGGUGAGGACGUCAUGUCAUCAUCGCCCUUACGGCCAAUCCUACACGACCCGUACAAUGGUCGGUCCAAAGGGUUGCUACACAGCGAUGUGAUGCUAAUCUCAAAAAGCCUAUCGUAGUCCGGAUUGGAGUGUGCAACUCGACUCCAUGACGUUGGAAUCGCUAGUAAUCGCGCAUCAGAAUGCCGCGGUGAAUACCUCCCGGGCCAGAACACACCGCCCGUCACACCAUGGGAGUUUGGGCACCAGAAGUAGCUACCUUAACUGCAAAGAGGGCCAUAGUCAUCGUUACCAUCCAG
RNAcentral lists this ribosomal RNA (1427 nucleotides) under Acinetobacter sp. RNAcentral describes it as "bacterial SSU rRNA". It matches the Rfam family "Bacterial small subunit ribosomal RNA". Lineage: Bacteria; Pseudomonadati; Pseudomonadota; Gammaproteobacteria; Moraxellales; Moraxellaceae. The record is from RNAcentral.